UCCCUUGAGGGGGACCACAGACGGCACCCUAGCUAGUUAGGUUAGUCAAGUUAAUGUGGGAUUUGAUGAGUUAUUGUUAAAUCCAGCACCUUCAUUAACUUUUGUUUUUGUAUGACACUGAAACUUUAUGGUAUUAACUUAUGCUUUUAACUUUGAAUUGAUUUCUUGCUAUUUCUGUAAUUAUUUGUUAAUACUUAUAAACAAUGUUUCUCAAUAUCAAUAAUUCUCCUACAGGUCCAACGUCUCUGUGGAGAAUUAUGAAACCAGCUGCAGGAGGAAAUUUGAGGCUGACAAUGUCAUCUACGAGAGACUAAUCUCUUUCUUCAACAGUGGAAGUUUUGUCAACAGCGAGGACAAGUCGGAACGAAGAUUCAUCCGGAGAAAGGCAGCCACAUUCCAGUGGGAUGCAUCACAGAAGAUCUUGUACUAUACUGGAGUGGGUGACAGCAAGCGGCGGGAAGUGAUACGCACCAUGGAGAAGCUUGCAGACGUGCUGUGGUUUCACCACAGUAGCCCGACUUCAGGUCAUAGUGGUGUGCUGGCAACAUACAACAGGGUUGCUGCAGUGUACUACUGGAGAAAUCGAGACCUGCAGUGAAUGCCAGCGUUUCAGUUCAGUCAAAACGCAAGCCCCUACCAUGAAGCCCAUAAAGGUGGAGAAAUUCUUGGAACUGGUAGGACUUGAUCUGAUUGGCAUGGAAAACCUGUUCGGAUACUGACCGACCAAGGACGCGAGUUUUGUUGUGCGGUAAGUCUUUAUGUAAUUAUGCUU
Molecule: long non-coding RNA, 772 nt
Filed under: Portunus trituberculatus (swimming crab)
Lineage: Eukaryota; Metazoa; Arthropoda; Malacostraca; Decapoda; Portunidae
Description: uncharacterized LOC123500969, transcript variant X2
Source: RNAcentral